RNAcentral lists this long non-coding RNA (837 nucleotides) under Rosa chinensis. RNAcentral's name for it is "sRNA RchiOBHm_Chr1g0325951". The record is from RNAcentral. Lineage: Eukaryota; Viridiplantae; Streptophyta; Magnoliopsida; Rosales; Rosaceae.
UUCUUUUUCCCUCUUUUUGCCCAAAGUCCCAAACACAACCGCUCUCUCUCUCGCCCAGUACCUCACCACACUCUCUCUCGCUACCUCCUUCAGCAUCAACUGCCGAAUCUCUGUCUGCAGUCCAGGUAAUUAAGAAAUCUCCCAAACACAACCGCUCUCUCUCUCGCCCAGUACCUCACCACUCUCUCUCUCGCUGCCUCCUUCAGCAUCAACUGCCGAAUCUCUGUCUGCAGUCCAGAUGCGCUCAGUUUCUCUGGAGCUUGAGAUUCUUAGCAAGCAUCAGCACCCUGAAUUAACGAUUCCCUUUUUAAAGCCCACUUUCCAGCCUUGGCGGUUCAGCUGCCUGGACUGAUUUCAAGGUCAAAAGGUGCAAGGAUGGUACUCAGGAGGGGAAGGCUCCUCGACCACAUGGGAAGAGAUUUCAAAGAAAUCCAAGGCACGCAGCAGCAGCGUUUCUAGUUUGAAAUCGGUUUCUUUUUCCAUUAUUGGGAAUCGCUUCCCAUCUCUAACUUCAAGACUUGGACCCUUUCAAGUUUCCUAGUCGGGAACACCAUCCAUUAUUUGAAAAGGCUGCUCAUCUUCAAGUCAGCAGUGACGGAUUUGGAGUUAAUUUUGGAAAUCCAAAGCCAAGAGCUUGAUAUUACCGGAUUGCUGAUGCAACUAGUGGGCAUGAAAUUUUGAGGGAGUCUAUAGGAGAUGAAGUAACUCCAAAUGCAAAUCAUGACCAGCCCUCAUUGGAGCAGAAUUCUCCAGUAAUAUCCCCUUCACAAAAUGGAACUCAAAGGGUUCUCAUGGCAAAAAGAGCAAAGCAAAUGAAAGCAAGUGCAAAGCUCACAA